AUAUCAAUAAGCGGAGGAAAAGAAACCAACAGGGAUUACUCAGUAACGGCGAGUGAAGCGGUAACAGCUCAAAUUUGAAAUCUGGCUCACGCCCGAGUUGUAAUUUGUAGAAGAUGCUUUGGGUGUGAGCUCGGUCUAAGUUCCUUGGAACAGGACGUCAUAGAGGGUGAGAAUCCCGUAUGUGACUGGUACGCUUCGCC
RNAcentral lists this ribosomal RNA (200 nucleotides) under uncultured Helotiales. RNAcentral describes it as "partial large subunit ribosomal RNA". It matches the Rfam family "Eukaryotic large subunit ribosomal RNA", at positions 40 to 242 of the family's 3401-position model. Lineage: Eukaryota; Fungi; Ascomycota; Leotiomycetes; Helotiales. The record is from RNAcentral.